Molecule: ribosomal RNA, 434 nt
Filed under: uncultured bacterium
Lineage: Bacteria
Description: partial 16S ribosomal RNA
Rfam family: Bacterial small subunit ribosomal RNA
Source: RNAcentral
AGCGAACGCUGGCGGCAGGCCUAACACAUGCAAGUCGAACGAACCUUUCGGGGUUAGUGGCGGACGGGUGAGUAACACGUGGGAACGUGCCUUUAGGUUCGGAAUAACUCAGGGAAACUUGUGCUAAUACCGAACGUGCCCUUCGGGGGAAAGAUUUAUCGCCUUUAGAGCGGCCCGCGUCUGAUUAGCUAGUUGGUUGAGGUAAUGGCUCACCAAGGCGACGAUCAGUAGCUGGUCUGAGAGGAUGAUCAGCCACAUUGGGACUGAGACACGGCCCAAACUCCUACGGGAGGCAGCAGUGGGGAAUCUUGCGCAAUGGGCGAAAGCCUGACGCAGCCAUGCCGCGUGAAUGAUGAAGGUCUUAGGAUUGUAAAAUUCUUUCACCGGGGACGAUAAUGACGGUACCCGGAGAAGAAGCCCCGGCUAACUUCGUG